GACGAACGCUGGCGGCGUGCUUAACACAUGCAAGUCGAACGGGGUGUUUAUUUCGGUAAACACCAAGUGGCGAACGGGUGAGUAACGCGUAAGCAAUCUACCUUCAAGAUGGGGGACAACACUUCGAAAGGGGUGCUAAUACCCGAAUGAAUGUAAGAGUGUCGCAUGAGACACUUACUAAAAGGAGGCCUCUGAAAAUGCUUCCGCUUGAAGAUGAGCUUGCGUCUGAUUAGCUAGUUGGUGAGGGUAAAGGCCCACCAAGGCGACGAUCAGUAGCCGGUCUGAGAGGAUGAACGGCCACAUUGGGACUGAGACACGGCCCAGACUCCUACGGGAGGCAGCAGUGGGGAAUAUUGCACAAUGGGGGAAACCCUGAUGCAGCGACGCCGCGUGAGCGAAGAAGUAUUUCGGUAUGUAAAAGCUCUAUCAGCAGGGAANAAGAAAUGACGGUACCUGACUAAGAAGCACCGGUCUAACUACGUGCCAGCAGCCGC
This 494-nucleotide ribosomal RNA is filed under the name uncultured bacterium. RNAcentral describes it as "bacterial SSU rRNA". It matches the Rfam family "Bacterial small subunit ribosomal RNA", at positions 28 to 518 of the family's 1533-position model. The record is from RNAcentral.